This 358-nucleotide long non-coding RNA is filed under the name Urocitellus parryii (Arctic ground squirrel). Its description in RNAcentral is "lncRNA (ENSUPAG00010013690.1)". The record is from RNAcentral. Lineage: Eukaryota; Metazoa; Chordata; Mammalia; Rodentia; Sciuridae.
UUUUCCCUGGCGUCUUCCUCGGAGGCUGGCAGGAUGAUGAAGAAAUGAUACUGAUAGGAAAGCAAUUCCCUUCAACCAACUCCUGUUUUCCUGAGAAAGCCCGUGGAAGAUCCAGGAGGCCUCUUGAGUACUUGUUGCCUAGAGUGUGAGCCUUGAGAUGACCAUGAGUGGCCAGCCACUAACUGGAGAAUGAAUUCAUAAAAGCUCCAUGUUUCCUGCUAGUUAAUGAGCUGUAAUGACUGCUGGGGAACUCCAUUGGGAGAACACAUUCCCGCUUAACUGCAGGAAAGUCAAAGAACAUCCGAGAAACAAAAACCUCAGUUUUGCAAACGCACAAGAUUUCCGUGUUCUCUCAUAG